This 404-nucleotide ribosomal RNA is filed under the name uncultured Rickettsiales bacterium. RNAcentral's name for it is "bacterial SSU rRNA". It matches the Rfam family "Bacterial small subunit ribosomal RNA", at positions 355 to 776 of the family's 1533-position model. The record is from RNAcentral. Lineage: Bacteria; Pseudomonadati; Pseudomonadota; Alphaproteobacteria; Rickettsiales.
UGGGGAAUAUUGGACAAUGGGCGCAAGCCUGAUCCAGCAAUACCACGUGAGUGAUGAAGGCCUUCGGGUUGUAAAACUCUUUUAGUAGGGAAGAUAAUGACUGUACCUACAGAAAAAGCACCGGCUAACUUCGUGCCAGCAGCCGCGGUAAUACGAAGGGUGCUAGCGUUGUUCGGAAUCAUUGGGCGUAAAGCGUGCGUAGGCGGCUUAACAAGUCAGCUGUGAAAGCCCAGGGCUUAACCCUGGAAUUGCAGUUGAAACUGUUUCGCUAGAGUAUGAAGAGGGAUAGUGGAAUUCUUAGUGUAGGGGUGAAAUCCGUAGAUAUUAAGAGGAACACCGGUGGCGAAAGCGACUAUCUAUGUCAUUACUGACGCUGUUGCACGAAAGCGUGGGGAGCAAACAGG